This 1046-nucleotide ribosomal RNA is filed under the name Cranifera cranifera. RNAcentral's name for it is "partial large subunit ribosomal RNA". Lineage: Eukaryota; Metazoa; Nematoda; Chromadorea; Rhabditida; Thelastomatidae. The record is from RNAcentral.
GCCCAGCGCUGAAUCCUAUGGCCACUGGUCAUCAGGAACUGUAGCGUAUAGGUGCAACUGUUCGGUGGUUUUGCUCACCCAAAGUUCCCUUGAGUGGGGCUACAGUCCAUAGAAGGUGCUAGGCCUGUACGGGUGGCGGAGCUGUCCGAUGAUGGUUGCUCCUUGGAGUCGAGUUGCCUGGGAACGCAGCUCAAAGUAGGUGGUAAACCUCAUCUAAGGCUAAAUAUGACCACGAGACCGAUAGCAAACAAGUACCGUGAGGGAAAGUUGCAAAGAACUUUGAAGAGAGAGUUCAAGAGGGCGUGAAACCGCUGAGAAGGAAACGGAUAGAGUUGACGAAACUCAGUGGCAUUCAUCCGGCCGAUCGGCUGUUGGCUGCUGUUCUGCGUUAGUUGGCUUCCUUUACGGGAGGUCGGCAACUUGGACGGCUCGGCCGGCAGUGAUUGCUGGUGCUUUUGCCAUUGGUAUGCGCUGAGAAGUUCGCUGUGGUGCGUUUAAGGCUGCUAAAGAGGACCACUCCCGCAUGGGUGUGGAAACUUUUGGCGGUGUUGAGGCGUAUCCGCGGUGGAUGCUGAUUUCGCAGUGCAACGCUUGCUUGUAGCGCAACGGCUGUUGCGGACUGACGUGGCUGUUGGGCGGUCGCAUGCGACUUGCCUACAGUUUGCUGUUGGUCUGUUGGCGGUAYCUGGUUGCGUUUGGCGUUUGCAUCUCGGUGUGAAAGUCGACCACCUAUCCGACCCGUCUUGAAACACGGACCAAGGAGUUUAGCAUAUGCGCAAGUCAUUGGGUGGUAAACCUAAAGGCGUAAUGAAAGUAAAGAUCGCUUUGAAUGCGGUUGAUAUGGGAUCUGUGUUGGCGGCGGCGGCAGCAAUGUCACACUCUGCACAGCGCACCAUAGCCCCGUUCUUGUUGCUUGCAAUAGGGCGGAGGUAGAGCGCAUACGCUGAGACCCGAAAGAUGGUGAACUAUGCCUGAGCAGGAUGAAGCCAGAGGAAACUCUGGUGGAAGUCCGAAGCGGUUCUGACGUGCAAAUCGAUCGUCUGACU